UUUAAUAUGACACUUUGUAGAGCUAAAUUGUUGCUCACCUUAAUUUCAGCAUUUCUUUGUCUAUUUGUCCUUGUUCAUUUCUAAGCCUUGGGGACUUCCUUAAAGCACCCACCGUAUCAUCGUCACCUACGCAGAGUACAUGGUACACGCGUUCUCCUUCUGCUGCUUUUCUUCAAUGAAGGAAAGGAAAAUAGAAAUGUAAGAGAGCACUUAGAAAUGCUCCCCUGAAGCGCAUUUGCGUGCCCCAAAACCUUUGUUCGCAUUUCCGUUGUUUUGUAAAGUUAAGGCCUCGCCUAGUCACUCUACCAGGCCAGACCCUAACAUUGGGCACCAUAAUUAUCUCUCUAACGCGUUUUCUAAACAAUGCAAGUCAGGCAGUUGCACUCAAAUAAAUGUUCCAGCUGUCGUUGUACAUGGUAUCUGUUUUAAUUUUUCCUUUUCUGUGUAACCACCUAAUACGAUGAACUGAAUACUUACUUUCAACGUACUUAGAAUCUCGCUUAUGUUCUAGGUACUUAGCUGAGGUUACGUAAACGUACUUGUUGUAUUUGUUGAUCCUGUAUCAUUAGAGGCCAACUACAACGAUAUUUGCGUUUGGCCAAAUUUGUUAAGCAUAAGCAGUUUAUCACAGGUAGAGGCAUUCGAUUCAGUAGAGGUAUGAGCAGUCUUGGAAGCAUUACGUCGUCAACGAGUUCUGGAAACAUGUAAAUACCUUAUUCGACACCUAUGGAGGCACCGCAGCUACCUUGCUUCUCCACAAGAAGAGCGAGAAGACAACGAUCGAAAAAGGAGUCAGACAAGGGGAUGUAAUCUCUCCACCAUUGUUCAGCGCAUGCUUAGAAUUAUCCAAACGACUAGACUGGGAGUGAAAAUUAACGGAGAAUAUUUAAUGACCGUACUGUUUGCAGAUGACGUUGUGUUCUCCUAAAAUACUGGUGACGAACUGCAACAAAUGAUUCAGAACCUCACCAGGAAAAUUGUUAAAGGAACACUAAAGAGAAAACGAGUUUUUUCAUAUUAGUAAAUUAUUCUUUCACAAUUCCAAAGUAACCACGCUUGCCGCGAGAAGACGCUUGUUAAGCGAGAAAACGCACAAUAGGGUUCUCAGAGUACAAUUUAUGAAACUAAACCGAUUCAUUGUCUCACUUUAGUGUCCCUUUAAAGUAGGCUUGAACAAAGGCGCCAGUUACGGGAAAGCAAGCGUGCACCAGCCCGCACCAGAGCUUGCCCAAAGGGUGUCGUCGCACCCCCUUUAAGAGCAAGCUUUUCGUUGCGCCGGGUAGUGCAAACAGAAACUAUCAUCAUCGUGAAUCGGUACGCCCUCUCUUCGCCUCUUUUUCCUCUCAGUCCUUUCAUCUUCUGCUUCGCUCCCAAAACACGUGCGCAGAUUUCCCCGGCGGGACCUGUAAUAACCCUGAUGAGUGAGAGGAGUGAACGAGUACAGAGAGAGACAGAGAGAAAGAAAGAUAUAAAGAAAAGAAAGAAAAGAAAGAAAGAAGAGAAAGAGACAGAGAAAGGAAUAUAAAGAAAGAGAAAAUCUUGGCGAAAAAAUUGCUCAUGCGGCGGGAUUCGAACCCGCAUACCCACGAUCCGAAUGAGAGUGUCUUAACCACUCGGCUAUCCAGGCACGCUGACAGAAGCGUAGCCUUGUAUAGUAUAGUAUCGUAUAGUAAGUGGAAGUGAGGGUGAGGAGGAGGAAAAGGGGCAGGGAAGAGAGUAAAGCAUAGUAUAUAAAGAAUGAGAAAGAGAGAAAUAGAAAGAAGGAAAUGCAGAAACAGAAAGACAGGGAAUCAAAGAAAGAGAAAGAAAUAGAGGGAGGGAGAAAAAGAUAGAGGAAGCAAGCAAGAAAUAGAGAGAGAGAGAGUGAGACAAAGAUAGAAAUAAACGGAGACAAAAAAGACACAGAGCAGAGAGAUCAGAGAAAAACAAAGAAUCAGGAAGAAAGAAAGAGAGAAAAAUAGAGAGAAACAUAGAAGGCCGCCCAGUUCCGCACUUACUUCACGCUUGGCACCCCUAUUGCGAAGCUGCCCUAAUUUUUAGAGCGCAGCUCUUAGGCACGCGUUCCUGCAUUGAGCGGCGUCGCCGUCGCCUAUUCUACCACAAAGCGACUCUGAUACUUGAAACUCAUUUUCAAAUAGACCCUAUACAGGCGUGAUGUCGGGCAAGGAAUCGCGUUAGCCUAUGUAAUGUAGCGUGGCAAGAGAGUAAAAUAACAACCAGUCAUCACACAGCGCUAAUUGCGCGACCAGUGUGUGGUUUAAUGCUUCCCACUUACUGCAAAGUGCUCAUCUAUAAUUCUUCAUCGUCAUCAGGCGCAUGCAGCAUCAAGAAAGCGCACAUAACGUCUUACAGAUGUGUAGCGAGUACCUCGCUUAUUCGCAGAAAGACGAGUAAUGGCGUAGUGGGUGGUGUCCUACUUCACAAGUCGAAACUUCAAACACAGUAGGCCUUACCCAGCACGAAGCUGCGCUCAGAAUUCGCAUUAAGCAGUAUCGCAAUCGUCAGUGAAUUUUUUUUUUUCAUCUUUCUCGAUUUUUCGGUCACGGACAACGCUGAUUUUUCGCUCACAACGACGCCGACACAGGAACUUCUGCGACACGACCUCUUCAACGCUAUCGCGUUAAUAUUGUAGGCAUAAAAUGGAAUCAGCUCGCGCAAGACAGGGUAGAUUAGAGAUAAUUGGGAGAGGCCUUCGUCCUGGAGUGCGCAUAAAAAUAGGCUGGUGGUGAGGACCAGUGAAGCAAUCUUGGCAAAGCGCAAGGCUGGUACUUGUAUGACGAAUGACCUAGAAUGCCUCCUCCGAAAUGUUUCAGCGAGCGCUGGAGAACCACGUGCGCCGCCUUAUCUCGGUCGGGUACUUGGAUGGAACGCGUGCUACUCCAGGAAUCAGUCAAUGGUUGCCCCCUUAAAGAAAGCGACAAAGUGGGAGCGGAUUGCCUGAGGUUUUCGUGAUACCUCCUCACGUAUUUCAAAUGUUGAAGGGCUGCUCAUAUAUCUACAGAAUCUUACACUAGGCUCUUUACGCUGUGCCAAAUUUCGUUGCACUUGGCCUUUAACUGCUGUCCUAGUGAUUUAAAACUCGUUUAGAUGUUGCACGUUCAGUUGUGUUGUAAAUGUACGUUGGCUGAGGCCAAUUUAUUUUCUCGUGCUUUUCCAUUUUCAUUUGUCGUUACAUGCUUUUAAGUGCGCAAUGUUGUGUUGCAUUUUGUCGUUGCGUGAUUUGAGUCUACAAUGUUAUGCUACAUUUACAAUUAUAUAUUGCGUUGACUGAGGCCAUUUUAUUGUCUUUUUUCCUAUUUUAUUUGUCGUUACAUGCUUUUAAGUGUACAGUACUCACGGAUUGAAACAGGACAAUUUAGGGAUAGGUAACGCACAUAUUUUUGUUUCCACUGUCUUCAGUUUGGUUCACAUCGGUGUAAUUUCGACUCGAACGCGCAGAUCAGAGUCAACGUUAUCUUUAGAGACCGGAUUCGUCGCUACAUGACGUGCUUAUCUCGAGCAAUUGCGCAUACAGUCGUUAUAUUAAAAAAUUUGAUGUCGCGUUUGAAUCCGUGAUUACCGUAAAAUGUUGUAUUGCAUUCUUGUCGUUGCGUGAUUUGAAUCUGCAAUGCUAUGCUACAUUUACAAUUAUAUAUUGCGUUGGCUGAGGCCAGUUUAUUCUCUUGCUCUUUUCUAUUUUUAUUUGUCGUUACAUACUUUUAAGUGUUCAAUGUUGUAUUACAUUUGCUCGUUUCUCCAGUGUAAACAAUGUCACCCGCCACGGUGGUCUAGUGGUUAUGAUGCUCGACUGCUGACCCGAAGGCCGCGGUAUGGAAUCUCGGCCGUGGCGACCGCAUUUUCGAUGGAGGCGAGAAUGCUUGAGGCCCGUGUACUUAGAUUUAGGUGCACGUUAAAAAACCCAAGGUGGUCGAAAUUUCCGGAGCCCUUCACUUCGGCGUCCCUCAUAUUCAGAUCGUGGUUUUGGGACGUUAAACCCCAGGAAUUAGUUAUUUAUUAUUGAGUGUACAAUGUUAUGCUACAUAAAUAAUAAUAUAUUGCACGUUCAUUUUCGUAAAGACUAUUCGAGCGUGCUGUAGAGUUCGAAAAAGCCGCUUAUAUUCCUAUGUACAUAUGUACAUAUUGUAAGAUGAGAAAUGUAGCAUUUUUUUCAGAAGAGAAAUAGGGACAACAGCCGUUCUCUGGAAAGGUUAUUAUAUUCUACCCUCCCUUCUCCUCUUCUGUUCCCGCAAGCCCUGAGCUCGAGCGCAUCUCCGUCUAUAUUGCACUUGGGCACAAUGCGACUUACUUUGCAUGGGGAGCUUCUGAAUGUGUUUGGCGAGCGGAAUCUGCUGUCUCGUAGUCUCAUUCACGCUGCUACUCGGUGUGGUUGCUGCAGAAGAUGUGUCUAGCUGGUGGCACUGGUUAUUACGGGAGGAUUGCAAGUGCCUCUGACAACUGUCCCGUUGCAGUUCAGAACGCACUGCAGGAUAUUCUGGACAUUGAACGAUGGCUGGCCGGACUGAAGCGCUAUGGCAGAAGAGAUAUCAUCUGGUCUCUAGUCGGGUGCGUCUACGCACCAUUAGCGCCGAUGGAUCAAAGCUCGCCGAUCCGCUCUUGCCAGCCAGUCGAAAUGCCUCGUGCAGCCGAGUCAUCGGUGUCCACUGUUUCAGCCCUCCGCACAGGAGGCAGCUGUAUCAGAUCCAAAACUUGUGUUUCCAGUAUCGUCUGAGAAAGGGGCUUAGAACGCGUGGGCAGUUCCUCGACGUCAUCUGCCCUACUGGUCGCCCGGCCCUUUCUUAAUGAGAUGUCUCUCAGUGCCCGAGUGAGAGGUAGUGGAACCGUGGUAAUGUCAAGUUCAAGGAAGACGAACUUAGCAGCCGAGCAAUCGGUAGAUUUGGGCUGCAUGGUCAUGUCUAUGACUGUCGAAAUGUGGCGUGCAGCAGAGCUGUCCUUACUCUGGGAGAUGAGGUCAGCAACCACUCCAUCGACAGGAGUCUUGGGUUGUUCUGGCAGGUCUAGGACAUCAGUCGUGCUGGUCGCAUUAGAUUCCUUGAUCUCGCUCGGCGCAUGAUGAUUGUCUGUACAUUUGGCCAAUGAAUCCGCUCGAAUAUGUGGAUGUGGUUUCCAUAGACUGGUCCGGUUCCUGUAUUGGUAGUUUGUGAAGCACGAGAGGAACCGGUACCCCCAUGUGCUGAAGCGGUAGCGAACUCGAAGGCCCCAUCACCGACUUCUGUAGCUGGCAAGUGGUCUCGAGCUCUGGUAAUACUGGUCUCGUGUCGCAUACCGACGGAAAGUCCGACAACCGAAGUGGUAAAGACAUGCCGAGUCGGGUGUUAUCGCCAGCACAGUCUGCAUAACUGCAUCCUCGAGGUGGUGCCCAUGCUGAGCCCCGUCCUCGGUGGAGGUAUUGUUGAACUCUCUGGUGGCAUGGUGAGUACGACAUAAAACAGCUACCAGUGCUGCACUCACUUCAGGCCACGACCCGAUGCCUUCGCAGUGUUGCCAUGCUUUGGAGGCACCGCGAAGGCGGUUUAUUGCAACGGGCUAGUGUUUGUGGUCAGGCCAGACGUGGCGAGCGCGCGCAUUGGGUGUCUUCACCGACAGGACUGCGUCGUCCUGGAAAGCGCAAAACUCCGAUAGUUCCCACGUAGCCGGCUAUGGUAAAGCUGCAAGCCGGAAUUGGGAAGUUACCAUGGCGGUAAUGGUCUAGUUGCUUGGAGAGCAGCUCUGCGGCACGCAUCGCGUCCAUGGUGUUGACUAUCGAGGCGCCCGAGGCGCCAGGUACGACGUUCGCGGUGACGCCAGUACUCACGGUGGCAGUAUCCAUGACCAAGGGAGCGUGGACCGCAUCCCUUGGCGGUUUAGACGCCGAAAGAAUUCGGAGCACGGGAUCCAUGCCAUGGAAACCAUGGAUGGUGUUCCCUGUCGACCGCGCCAUUGUAAGAAUAGAAAUAGGGAGAGUGCAUGUCCUAUGAACCUCUUCUAUACUGCACUCGGUUCGCCUCUUCUUCGGGUCCCCGCGAGCCAUGAGCCCUAGAGCCGCUCCGUCUUUCUUACAAUAUUUCUUCUCAUUAUAGUUCCAAUACUUUGUUUUGCUAUUUGCUCCUUCGAAAAGCACCGCUGUAAUUUUCAGUGGCUGAGAAAGAUGCCCGAAGCGAUUCUAUAGUUACUCUUGGUAUGCGUGGUGCCUUCGCGGAAGAAACGAGGAAAUCUCGUAGCCUGCAUUUUCUUUUGUAUUUUUCUAUUCUUUUAUACAAUAUUUAAAGGACCUUGCUUCUAUGAGUUCUUGAGGUAACUCGUGGACAGGAGCUCAAAAAGAAAUUGGAUAUAAUUUAAAAAAUCCCCCGUGGCCAUGUACGAAAGCAAAACAAAAAGCAUUUAUUGCUUUUCAUUAUUGCACUUCUCGUAUCUGAAUGCUCAAUUCGUGGACCUCAGUGUAAGUGUCCUCUUACCCAGCGCACACGUUCCCUUUCUUUGAACUCGUGUGUGUGCUGUCCGCCGCGGUGGUGUAGCGGUUACGGUGCUCGGCUGCUGACCCAAAGGUUGCGGGUUCGAUCCCGGCCGCGGCGGUCGCAUUUCGAUGGAGGCGAAAUGCUGGAGGCCAGUGUACUGUGCGAUGUCAGUGCACGUUGAAGAACACCAGAUGGUCAAAAUUUCUGGAGCCCUCCACUACGGCGUGCCUCAUAAUCAUGUCGUGGUUUUGGCACGUCAUACCCCAAAUAUUGUUAUUUUGUGUGUGUGCUUGCUUUUGGCAGUUGUCUUUAUUUCAGUGAACUAGCUGUACUUGCAUAUAUAUGUGUUGCGCCUGUAUAAGCGGCGUCGCGUGUCAAUGUCGUCGCAUUACUGUUAAUUUUGUGACAGAACGAACUCAAGUAUUUAUAAAGGUCUCCAUGAGUUGUGUACAUAUGUAAAUACAUUGAAGACUGACACUUGACGCUGUGAUUGACAAUGGGUGACUCGCCGUAGUGUCUUAGCGGCUAACGUGUUGCGCUACUAAGCUCGAGGGUGCAGGUUCGAUUUCCAGAAACUGAGGCCGCAUUUCGAUGGGGCCGAAAUGCAAGAACGCCCAUGUACGUAUGUUUAAAUGUGCGUCAAAGAAGCCUCAGAGUCCCCUACUACUGCGUAUGUUAUAAUUAUAUCGUAAUUUUGGCACGCAAAAGCAGUGAAUGGAAUUUUUAAUUGGCGAUUGGCGUCUAUAAAUGAUCGAUAUUAUCUAGUGUGGCUCCUCCGCAGUGCUUGCAUUUUCCCGCAACUGCUGUGCGCAUGAAUGUGUACGUUUGUGUCAUUUUUGCGGACUCCGCAAAAUGAUACAGACGACAAAUGAUCGGUGCGCUUAAGAUUGGGGCCCAAUCUUAAGCGUCCCGAUAAUUUCACGUGAAUCCAAUAAACAAUGAAUGUGUAAAUUUCUAUGGAAAAUAAAUGUGCACCUCCACGAGCGCUUGUUGGC
Rhipicephalus sanguineus (brown dog tick) is the source of this 7426-nucleotide long non-coding RNA. RefSeq lists it as uncharacterized. Lineage: Eukaryota; Metazoa; Arthropoda; Arachnida; Ixodida; Ixodidae. The record is from RefSeq and is a predicted model, not a curated record. The transcript is spliced from 2 exons.